RNAcentral lists this ribosomal RNA (274 nucleotides) under uncultured bacterium. RNAcentral describes it as "partial 16S ribosomal RNA". It matches the Rfam family "Bacterial small subunit ribosomal RNA", at positions 523 to 796 of the family's 1533-position model. The record is from RNAcentral.
AUACGGAGGGUGCAAGCGUUGUCCGGAUUUAUUGGGUUUAAAGGGUGCGCAGGCGGUGCGUUAAGUCAGUGGUGAAAUCUUCCGGCUCAACCGGGAAACUGCCAUUGAUACUGGCGCACUUGAGUACGGACGAGGUAGGCGGAAUUUAUGGUGUAGCGGUGAAAUGCAUAGAUACCAUAAAGAACACCGAUAGCGAAGGCAGCUUACCAGACCGUAACUGACGCUCAGGCACGAAAGCGUGGGGAGCAAACAGGAUUAGAGACCCUAGUAGUCC